UGUUUAUCAAAAACAUGUCUUUUAGAUAAUAAUUUAAAGUCUAACCUGCCCACUGAUUUAUUAAAGGGCCGCGGUAUAUUGACUGUGCAAAGGUAGCAUAAUCAUUUGUCUUUUAAUUGAAGGCUGGAAUGAAUGGUUGAAUGAAGUAUUAACUGUCUCAUUUUAAAAAAAAUAAAAAUUUAAUUUUUUAGUCAAAAAGCUAAAAUAAAUUUAGAGGACGAGAAGACCCUAUAGAUCUUUAUAAUAAAAUUUAAUAAAAAUUUUUAGAAUAAAAAAAAAAUUAUUAAAUUAAAUUAUUUGGUUGGGGUGACAGGAAAAUUUAAUAAACUAUUUUUAUAUAAGAACAAUAAUUUUUGAAUAUUUGAUCCAAUUUUAUUGAUUAAAAAAUUAAGUUACCUUAGGGAUAACAGCGUAAUUUUUUUAGAGAGUUCAUAUCGAUAAAAAAGAUUGCGACCUCGAUGUUGAAUUAAAGGUUAUUUCUAGAUGCAGAAGUUUAGAGUUUAGGUCUGUUCGACCUUUGAAUCUUUCAUGAUCUGAGUUCAAACCG
Molecule: ribosomal RNA, 547 nt
Filed under: Oedosmylus brevis
Lineage: Eukaryota; Metazoa; Arthropoda; Insecta; Neuroptera; Osmylidae
Description: partial 16S ribosomal RNA
Rfam family: Bacterial large subunit ribosomal RNA
Source: RNAcentral